This 258-nucleotide ribosomal RNA is filed under the name uncultured bacterium. Its description in RNAcentral is "partial 16S ribosomal RNA". It matches the Rfam family "Bacterial small subunit ribosomal RNA", at positions 524 to 776 of the family's 1533-position model. The record is from RNAcentral.
UACGUAGGUGGCAAGCGUUGUCCGGAAUUAUUGGGCGUAAAGCGCGCGCAGGCGGUCCUUUUAAGUCUGAUGUGAAAAGCCCCACGGCUCAACCGUGGAGGGUCAUUGGAAAACUGGGGGGACUUGAGUACAGAAGAGAAGAGUGGAAUUCCACGUGUAGCGGUGAAAUGCGUUGAGAUCCACAGGAACUCCGGUGGCGAAGGCGGCCCGCUGGACCCUUACUGACGCUGAGGCGCGAAAGCCAGGGGAGCGAACGGG